Haemonchus contortus (barber pole worm) is the source of this 75-nucleotide non-coding RNA. Lineage: Eukaryota; Metazoa; Nematoda; Chromadorea; Rhabditida; Trichostrongylidae. The record is from Rfam.
GGCUCAAAUUUGAAGUAGACCAGUUUAGUAGGGCCAGAUGAUCCUUCUAAUCUUCUUUACUUCAAAUUUGGGCCU